CCUGCGCUCCUGAUGAUCCAGAGUAUCAUGCAUAGUUCACACUGAACAAUCGUGUUGACAACCAUACAUCUAAUAGUCUUUCGCUCCUAUCUGAUCCCCUUC
This 102-nucleotide small nucleolar RNA is filed under the name Cylindrobasidium torrendii FP15055 ss-10. RNAcentral describes it as "Small nucleolar RNA snR60/Z15/Z230/Z193/J17". It matches the Rfam family "Small nucleolar RNA snR60/Z15/Z230/Z193/J17". Rfam says of the family: The members of this family belong to the C/D class of snoRNAs which contain the C (UGAUGA) and D (CUGA) box motifs. The record is from Rfam by way of RNAcentral. Lineage: Eukaryota; Fungi; Basidiomycota; Agaricomycetes; Agaricales; Physalacriaceae.